GGGCCCGUGGGGUAGCUUGGUAUCCUUCUACCUCGGGGAGGUAGUAACCCGAGUUCAAAUCUCGGCGGGCCCA
RNAcentral lists this transfer RNA (73 nucleotides) under Thermoplasmatota archaeon. Its description in RNAcentral is "Candidatus Thermoplasmatota archaeon tRNA-Pro". It matches the Rfam family "tRNA". Rfam says of the family: Transfer RNA (tRNA) molecules are approximately 80 nucleotides in length. The record is from RNAcentral. Lineage: Archaea; Methanobacteriati; Thermoplasmatota.